RNAcentral lists this ribosomal RNA (197 nucleotides) under uncultured bacterium. Its description in RNAcentral is "partial 16S ribosomal RNA". It matches the Rfam family "Bacterial small subunit ribosomal RNA", at positions 326 to 539 of the family's 1533-position model. The record is from RNAcentral.
ACGCUCGACACCUACGGAAGCAGCAGUGGGGAAUAUUGCACAAUGGGGGGAACCCUGAUGCAGCGACGCCGCGUGAGUGAAGAAGUACUUCGGUAUGUAAAGCUCUAUCAGCAGGGAAGAAAAUGACGGUACCUGACUAAGAAGCCCCGGCUAACUACGUGCCAGCAGCCGCGGUAAUCUGAGCGGGCUGGCAAGGC